GACUAAGCGUACACGGUGGAUGCCCUGGCAGUCAGAGGCGAUGAAGGACGUGCUAAUCUGCGAUAAGCGUCGGUAAGGUGAUAUGAACCGUUAUAACCGGCGAUUUCCGAAUGGGGAAACCCAGUGUGAUUCGUCACACUAUCAUUAACUGAAUCCAUAGGUUAAUGAGGCGAACCGGGGGAACUGAAACAUCUAAGUACCCCGAGGAAAAGAAAUCAACCGAGAUUCCCCCAGUAGCGGCGAGCGAACGGGGAGGAGCCCAGAGCCUGAAUCAGUGUGUGUGUUAGUGGAAGCGUCUGGAAAGGCGCGCGAUACAGGGUGACAGCCCCGUACACAAAAAUGCACAUGCUGUGAGCUCGAUGAGUAGGGCGGGACACGUGGUAUCCUGUCUGAAUAUGGGGGGACCAUCCUCCAAGGCUAAAUACUCCUGACUGACCGAUAGUGAACCAGUACCGUGAGGGAAAGGCGAAAAGAACCCCGGCGAGGGGAGUGAAAAAGAACCUGAAACCGUGUACGUACAAGCAGUGGGAGCACAGAGCAAUCUGUGUGACUGCGUACCUUUUGUAUAAUGGGUCAGCGACUUAUAUUCUGUAGCAAGGUUAACCGAAUAGGGGAGCCGAAGGGAAACCGAGUCUUAACUGGGCGUUAAGUUGCAGGGUAUAGACCCGAAACCCGGUGAUCUAGCCAUGGGCAGGUUGAAGGUUGGGUAACACUAACUGGAGGACCGAACCGACUAAUGUUGAAAAAUUAGCGGAUGACUUGUGGCUGGGGGUGAAAGGCCAAUCAAACCGGGAGAUAGCUGGUUCUCCCCGAAAGCUAUUUAGGUAGCGCCUCGUGAAUUCAUCUCCGGGGGUAGAGCACUGUUUCGGCAAGGGGGUCAUCCCGACUUACCAACCCGAUGCAAACUGCGAAUACCGGAGAAUGUUAUCACGGGAGACACACGGCGGGUGCUAACGUCCGUCGUGAAGAGGGAAACAACCCAGACCGCCAGCUAAGGUCCCAAAGUCAUGGUUAAGUGGGAAACGAUGUGGGAAGGCCCAGACAGCCAGGAUGUUGGCUUAGAAGCAGCCAUCAUUUAAAGAAAGCGUAAUAGCUCACUGGUCGAGUCGGCCUGCGCGGAAGAUGUAACGGGGCUAAACCAUGCACCGAAGCUGCGGCAGCGACACUAUGUGUUGUUGGGUAGGGGAGCGUUCUGUAAGCCUGUGAAGGUGUGCUGUGAGGCAUGCUGGAGGUAUCAGAAGUGCGAAUGCUGACAUAAGUAACGAUAAAGCGGGUGAAAAGCCCGCUCGCCGGAAGACCAAGGGUUCCUGUCCAACGUUAAUCGGGGCAGGGUGAGUCGACCCCUAAGGCGAGGCCGAAAGGCGUAGUCGAUGGGAAACAGGUUAAUAUUCCUGUACUUGGUGUUACUGCGAAGGGGGGACGGAGAAGGCUAUGUUGGCCGGGCGACGGUUGUCCCGGUUUAAGCGUGUAGGCUGGUUUUCCAGGCAAAUCCGGAAAAUCAAGGCUGAGGCGUGAUGACGAGGCACUACGGUGCUGAAGCAACAAAUGCCCUGCUUCCAGGAAAAGCCUCUAAGCAUCAGGUAACAUCAAAUCGUACCCCAAACCGACACAGGUGGUCAGGUAGAGAAUACCAAGGCGCUUGAGAGAACUCGGGUGAAGGAACUAGGCAAAAUGGUGCCGUAACUUCGGGAGAAGGCACGCUGAUAUGUAGGUGAAGCGACUUGCUCGUGGAGCUGAAAUCAGUCGAAGAUACCAGCUGGCUGCAACUGUUUAUUAAAAACACAGCACUGUGCAAACACGAAAGUGGACGUAUACGGUGUGACGCCUGCCCGGUGCCGGAAGGUUAAUUGAUGGGGUCAGCGCAAGCGAAGCUCUUGAUCGAAGCCCCGGUAAACGGCGGCCGUAACUAUAACGGUCCUAAGGUAGCGAAAUUCCUUGUCGGGUAAGUUCCGACCUGCACGAAUGGCGUAAUGAUGGCCAGGCUGUCUCCACCCGAGACUCAGUGAAAUUGAACUCGCUGUGAAGAUGCAGUGUACCCGCGGCAAGACGGAAAGACCCCGUGAACCUUUACUAUAGCUUGACACUGAACAUUGAGCCUUGAUGUGUAGGAUAGGUGGGAGGCUUUGAAGUGUGGACGCCAGUCUGCAUGGAGCCGACCUUGAAAUACCACCCUUUAAUGUUUGAUGUUCUAACGUUGACCCGUAAUCCGGGUUGCGGACAGUGUCUGGUGGGUAGUUUGACUGGGGCGGUCUCCUCCUAAAGAGUAACGGAGGAGCACGAAGGUUGGCUAAUCCUGGUCGGACAUCAGGAGGUUAGUGCAAUGGCAUAAGCCAGCUUGACUGCGAGCGUGACGGCGCGAGCAGGUGCGAAAGCAGGUCAUAGUGAUCCGGUGGUUCUGAAUGGAAGGGCCAUCGCUCAACGGAUAAAAGGUACUCCGGGGAUAACAGGCUGAUACCGCCCAAGAGUUCAUAUCGACGGCGGUGUUUGGCACCUCGAUGUCGGCUCAUCACAUCCUGGGGCUGAAGUAGGUCCCAAGGGUAUGGCUGUUCGCCAUUUAAAGUGGUACGCGAGCUGGGUUUAGAACGUCGUGAGACAGUUCGGUCCCUAUCUGCCGUGGGCGCUGGAGAACUGAGGGGGGCUGCUCCUAGUACGAGAGGACCGGAGUGGACGCAUCACUGGUGUUCGGGUUGUCAUGCCAAUGGCACUGCCCGGUAGCUAAAUGCGGAAGAGAUAAGUGCUGAAAGCAUCUAAGCACGAAACUUGCCCCGAGAUGAGUUCUCCCUGACUCCUUGAGAGUCCUGAAGGAACGUUGAAGACGACGACGUUGAUAGGCCGGGUGUGUAAGCGCAGCGAUGCGUUGAGCUAACCGGUACUAAUGAACCGUGAGGCUUAACCUUACAACGCCGAAGGUGUUU
RNAcentral lists this ribosomal RNA (2915 nucleotides) under Escherichia coli. Its description in RNAcentral is "partial 23S ribosomal RNA". It matches the Rfam family "Bacterial large subunit ribosomal RNA". Lineage: Bacteria; Pseudomonadati; Pseudomonadota; Gammaproteobacteria; Enterobacterales; Enterobacteriaceae. The record is from RNAcentral.